This 237-nucleotide long non-coding RNA is filed under the name Elaeis guineensis (African oil palm). Its description in RNAcentral is "long non-coding RNA (EGUI_LNC058641)". Lineage: Eukaryota; Viridiplantae; Streptophyta; Magnoliopsida; Arecales; Arecaceae. The record is from RNAcentral.
AUUAUAUUUCAAUCUUUCAAAUCCAUCUCAUGAAUUACUCUGAUCAAGGAUUUGCUAAAUUAAAAUACACUGAUGCAUAUCUCCUACCAAUUUAGAGGGAUCAAUUCUAUCUUGACACAUACACUGACUUGAAAAGUACUUGACUGCACCCAGUAAUCUUUCAUCACUGAAUUAAAAACUCAGAUGGUCUGAUUCUAAAAUAUAGUGAGUUGCUUACAAGUCAUCAUGGUGGUCUCA